Molecule: ribosomal RNA, 481 nt
Filed under: uncultured bacterium
Lineage: Bacteria
Description: partial 16S ribosomal RNA
Rfam family: Bacterial small subunit ribosomal RNA
Source: RNAcentral
GACGAACGUUGGCGGCGUGCUUAAUACAUGCAAGUCAACUGAAGCAGUGGUAGCAAUAUUGCUGUGGAGGUGGCGCCCGGGGGAGUAACACGUAGGUAAUCUGCUUUCAGGUCUGGCAUAACUCCGGGAAACCGGGGCUAAUAGCAGCUGAUGCAGCGGCGCGACAUCGAGACAGUUGUUAAAGGUAUGGUGUCUGAAGAUGAGUCUGCGUCUGAUUAGCUAGUUGGCGGGGUAACGGCCCAACAAGGCAACGAUCAGUAGAUGGUCUGAGGGGAUGAGCAGCAACACUGAAACUGAGACACGGUCCAGACUACGACGGGAGGCAGAAGCAAGGAAAAUUGCUCAAUGGGAGAAAGCCUGAAGCAGCGACGCCGCGUGAGGGACGAAGGGCUUUAGUUUGUAAAACUCGGUAGUGAGAGAAAAAAAUCCCAAUCUUUAGGACAUGAUGGUAUCUCAAAAGUAAGCCCCGGCUAACUACGUG